CGAUAAUUAGCUCAGCUGAAAAAAAAAGAGCAUCGCCACCCUUCACAAAUAAUGGCGAGGGUCACUGGUUCAAGUCCAGUAUCACCGACCA
Molecule: transfer RNA, 91 nt
Filed under: Pseudoalteromonas sp. SG44-17
Lineage: Bacteria; Pseudomonadati; Pseudomonadota; Gammaproteobacteria; Alteromonadales; Pseudoalteromonadaceae
Description: tRNA-OTHER
Source: RNAcentral